Molecule: long non-coding RNA, 280 nt
Filed under: Elaeis guineensis (African oil palm)
Lineage: Eukaryota; Viridiplantae; Streptophyta; Magnoliopsida; Arecales; Arecaceae
Description: long non-coding RNA (EGUI_LNC042420)
Source: RNAcentral
GAUGGAACUUAGAUGUUAGAUGUAUGUCUUAGCAGCCAAUAUGGUUGACACAUUGUAAUAACUCUAGGAUAUAAUUUUAUUCUUAAUACAUUGAUUUGAUCAAUAAAAGGGCAAGUUUAUUCUUUAUUCAAGUGUGAUGUAUCCUUGAAUCAUCCAUGGAAUUAACUUUCAAUACAUAUUCUCAAGGUGUUAAGAAUUAGAGACAUAUAUAUAAUUCCUAAAUGCUCCCAGUCAUAGGAUCAUCAUGAGAAUGGUGAUCGAUCUGGAUAGACUGGCACAU